CGUCAUAUUAGAAUCUUUUAUAGAUCCCCCUGAAUCCACCUGUGGAGGUCAACAUUUGUCUGCAAAACUUCAAUUUAAGUGGUUAUUUGCAUGGUUGUUAAACUUUUGUUUUUGCAUUUUAUAUGAUAUAUUUUGUUAUGCAAAUUUUCAUUGUAUUGUUGUUAAUAUACAUUUUCUUAACUCAUCUAGAUGUUGCUUGGUAAAUUAAAAAUUUGCCACAGUUAAAUCUAUGAUUUACAUCUAUAAAGAAUGAAAUGCGUAUGUUCACUCCUAAUUGUCUUUUAAUUUGACUUAUCUAUUCUCUAUAUAUUUUGAAUUGUUAUUUUUACAUAACAUUGAAUAUUAUUUAUGAAUUUUUGUGUUAAACGUGUAAUAAUGGUAAUGUUAUAUAUUGUAUAGUAAACAGA
This 407-nucleotide long non-coding RNA is filed under the name Mytilus galloprovincialis (Mediterranean mussel). The record is from RNAcentral. Lineage: Eukaryota; Metazoa; Mollusca; Bivalvia; Mytilida; Mytilidae.